GAGCUCACUUCAGCAGCACAUAUACUAAAGUUAGAAUGAUGCACAGAAGAUUUUCACGACCCCUUCACAGAAAUGACUUGCAAAUUCAUGGAGCAUUGUAUAUUUUU
Erinaceus europaeus (western European hedgehog) is the source of this 107-nucleotide small nuclear RNA. Lineage: Eukaryota; Metazoa; Chordata; Mammalia; Eulipotyphla; Erinaceidae. The record is from Ensembl.